GCCGCUAUAGCUCAGUGGCUAGAGCGUUGGUCUCGUAAACCAAAGGUCGCAAGUUCGAAUCUUGUUGGCGGCA
Molecule: transfer RNA, 73 nt
Filed under: Trichonephila inaurata madagascariensis
Lineage: Eukaryota; Metazoa; Arthropoda; Arachnida; Araneae; Nephilidae
Rfam family: tRNA
About the family: Transfer RNA (tRNA) molecules are approximately 80 nucleotides in length. Their secondary structure includes four short double-helical elements and three loops (D, anti-codon, and T loops). Further hydrogen bonds mediate the characteristic L-shaped molecular structure. tRNAs have two regions of fundamental functional importance: the anti-codon, which is responsible for specific mRNA codon recognition, and the 3' end, to which the tRNAs corresponding amino acid is attached (by aminoacyl-tRNA synthetases). tRNAs cope with the degeneracy of the genetic code in two manners: having more than one tRNA (with a specific anti-codon) for a particular amino acid; and 'wobble' base-pairing, i.e. permitting non-standard base-pairing at the 3rd anti-codon position.
Source: Rfam by way of RNAcentral